This is a long non-coding RNA of Polyodon spathula (Mississippi paddlefish), 1616 nucleotides long. RefSeq lists it as uncharacterized. The transcript has 2 exons. The record is from RefSeq and is a predicted model, not a curated record. NCBI's taxonomy places the organism in Eukaryota, Metazoa, Chordata, Actinopteri, Acipenseriformes, Polyodontidae.
AAGCCCCGCUGUCUCCAGCGCCCCAGGGAGAGGCCCCGCUGUCUCCAGCGUCCAGGGAGAAGCCCCGCUGUCUCCGGCACCCCAGGGAGAAACCCCGCUGUCUCCUGUGCCCCAGGCUGGAAAUUCAACUAAAAAAAUCACUGAAACUGAUAUCAGUACAGAAGAGGACAGAGAAGAGCCUGUACAGUAACAAGAACAAAGGACAGAACUGAUUACAGUAUUAUAUUGCAUAAAAUUACAUCAAAAGUAAAUAGCCUGAGCGAAUACUGCAUGCUGUUCUAAAAGUGCCUGUACAUUUGCAUUCUCUAAAGUGACAAGACACACUGCACAACACUAUAUUAUUAUUAUUAGUAGUAGUAGUAGAAGUACUAGUAGUAGUAUUAAUUAAUCAUUUAUCAGAUGUUUUUAUCCAAAGCCACUAUACCUGUGAUUAAAUAAGAGAUAAAUAAAAACUUGAAGAAACCUUAACCAAGAACAGGCUGUGCUUUGUAGUGAAACACAGUGGAAUGGAAAAUGAAUUAAUCUAAAAAGGUCAGAGUUAAUAACACAGAUAUUUUCAACAAGGGCUGGUGAUUCAGUAACUCUGAAACCUAUUUAAAUGUAAUUCGAGAAUGAGAAUAUACAGUGUACGAUCUUGUUGAAGUUUUCUGCCACACUACUGGGACUGCAGCAAUGCAUAAAGAACUUCCCUGUCUGACAAAACAGAUGUAGAAUAGAAAUGUAGCUUCCACAGUCAUCUCACAGACUGCUCAACAGGUAGGCUGCCUUUUUACAUCUUUGAACUAGAACUUCAGUUUUAUUAUUAGCACCCAUCAUCUUUGUCAGCCAGUUCAGCUUUGAGAAUUAUGCUUAUUAUACAGAAGGUUGGUUCAUUGGGUGUUGUUUUAGAAUCGUGUUUUAAGUGGGACCUAAGUACUAGCAGUGUUCUAACUUCAACCACAGUAAUCAAAUCAAUCUUCAAGCAAGAUUCCUAACCCAUGGCGAUGGACGCUUAUAGGUAGUUUUUAUCUGCUGUGCAGUUAUUAUACACUUCAGUUUAUCAGACAAAAAGCUGUUCAAAGUUGUCUUUAUGGUUAUAAUGUCAAGCCUUGCAAAUGGGGAUGUUUAUUUACAAAGCCAGCACUCUCUCUAGUGGCUCCACACCAACAACUACAAAAUUUUGCUACACACUUUAAAAUCUAGAUUUAUGCAGGGCUCAUAUGUCUCCCUGCCAAUACAAUAUUAUUAUAUAAUAAAUGGAAAUGAUAUAUAUGACUACUAGGAUAAGAUAUAUUUGGGACAUACAGUAUAGUAUGCUUAAUAACCCACAUUGUUAAAAUUAAUUAUUAAAACAGUUGUGGCUAAGAUAAGUGUUGAAAAUGGUUGUUGUUAAUAUUGUUCAAAUAUAUUAAUUUUGAAAAUUAAAAUGCUAAUUACAAGGAUAUGUUUACCAAAGCAAAGAUGAAUAUCCCCUACCCAGUGGUGGUGAUAUGAUGGAAGCAGGUGUACAGAAGUUUUUGUUUUGUUUGAUAUAAUUCAUAUUGUAUUGCUUUUUUAUAUACAGUCUAAUAACAACAAAUGUUUCAGUUCAUCUGCCUACAUGUAAUCAAUGCAUAUUAAAGUAUAUUACAAUGUUU